Long non-coding RNA from Microplitis mediator, 584 nucleotides. RefSeq lists it as uncharacterized. The record is from RefSeq and is a predicted model, not a curated record. The transcript is spliced from 4 exons. Lineage: Eukaryota; Metazoa; Arthropoda; Insecta; Hymenoptera; Braconidae.
UACAGGUGCAGUUUUUUUUUAAUAUUUUUUUUUUUUUAUGUUUUAUCGUCUAAUAAAAAACCCAAAAAUUAUUAGACGUCUGCUAACUUCAGAUCAUUAAUAAUAGUGUUUCAAAAAUAAAAAAAAAUUAAAUAUUUUCAAAUUUGGAUUUUUCAAAAUAAUAACAUUUUUAUUUGAAAAAUAUUAAUAAUUAUUUGAAAACGAAGACAAAAUAACAGAUGGAGAACGAAAAAAAUGGAAUUCCGAUGGUUACCAAUAUACCGUAAAAACUCAGCACAAAGAUACAAAAUAUUUGUAUUGCCUUUAUCGGUCUAAAAAAAAAUGUCAAGCGCAUGGUAAAUUUUUUAAUGGUAAAUUUACGCCAACUAUAAAAGAUCAUACAUGCGACAAAACUGAGAGUGAAAUAAUGAAGGAAAUAGAAAUGAUUGAUGUAUCUGAAGAAGACAAACACCUUGAGAACCCGCUAAAGCUGCACGAUGCAAAGCAGUAUAUCCAUCAGCAUCCUGAAGAUUUAAAUCCGCGCCAAAUUUAAACAGCAAACGUACGAUGUUUUCAUGUCCUCUCAUAGCAGCUCUGUGGAGUGC